RNAcentral lists this ribosomal RNA (492 nucleotides) under uncultured bacterium. RNAcentral describes it as "partial 16S ribosomal RNA". It matches the Rfam family "Bacterial small subunit ribosomal RNA", at positions 29 to 507 of the family's 1533-position model. The record is from RNAcentral.
AGUGGACGCUGGCGGUAGGCCUAACACAUGCAAGUCGAACGGCAGCACAGUAAGAGCUUGCUCUUACGGGUGGCGAGUGGCGGACGGGUGAGGAAUACAUCGGAAUCUACUUUUUCGUGGGGGAUAACGUAGGGAAACUUACGCUAAUACCGCAUACGACCUACGGGUGAAAGCAGGGGAUCUUCGGACCUUGCGCGAUUGAAUGAGCCGAUGUCGGAUUAGCUAGUUGGCGGGGUAAAGGCCCACCAAGGCGACGAUCCGUAGCUGGUCUGAGAGGAUGAUCAGCCACACUAGAACUGAGACACGGUCCAGACUCCUACGGGAGGCAGCAGUGGGGAAUAUUGGACAAUGGGCGCAAGCCUGAUCCAGCCAUACCGCGUGGGUGAAGAAGGCCUUCGGGUUGUAAAGCACUUUUGUUGGGAAAGAAAAGCAGCAGGUUAAUACCCCGCUGUUCUGACGGUACCCAAAGAAUAAGCACCGGCUAACUUCGUG